UGAAUACGAGAUGCUACGGCGUCGAAGCAGUCUAUGUCAUACUUCCAAGAAAAGCUCGCACUGUCAUAAACAAAUAAUGCCUGUACCAUAACCGACACAGGUGGGUAGGUAGAGUAUACUAAGGGGCGCGAGAUAACUCUCUCUAAGGAACUCGGCAAAAUGACUCCGUAACUUCGGGAGAAGGAGUGCCUUAUUUAUAAGGUUGCAAUAACAAGAUCCAAGCAACUGUUUAUCAAAAACACAGGUCUCCGCUAAGUCGUAAGACGAUGUAUGGGGGCUGACGCCUGCCCAGUGCCAGAAGGUUAAAGAAGUUGGUUAGCAUUCGCGAAGCUGAUAACUGAAGCCCUGGUGAACGGCGGCCGUAACAAUAACGGUCCUAAGGUAGCGAAAUUCCUUGUCGGGUAAGUUCCGACCCGCACGAAAGGCGUAAUGAUUUGGAUACUGUCUCGGAGAGGGGCUCGGUGAAAUAGACUUGUCUGUGAAGAUGCGGACUACCUGCACCAGGACAGAAAGACCCUAUGAAGCUUUACUGUAACUUGAGAUUGAAAUUGGACUUUACUUGCGCAGUAUAGGUGGGAGGCGUUGAUAAUAUUCUUGCGGAUUAUUUGAGCCAUCAGUGAGAUACCACUCUUGUAAUGUUAGAUUUCUAACUUUGUAUCAUUAUCUGGUCAAAGGACAGUUUCAGGCGGGCAGUUUGACUGGGGCGGUCGCCUCCUAAACGGUAACGGAGGCGCACAAAGGUUUCCUCUGAACGGGUAGAAAUCGUAUCUAGAGUGUAAAGGCAUAAGGAAGCUUGACUGUGAGACCUACAAGUCGAGCAGGGACGAAAGUCGGUCUUAGUGAUCUGACGGUGCUGAGUGGAAAGGCCGUCACUCAACGGAUAAAAGUUACUCUAGGAUAACAGGCUGAUCUCCCCCAAGAGUUCACAUCGACGGGGAGGUUUGGCACCUCGAUGUCGGCUCAUCGCAUCCUGGGGCGGUAGUACGUCCCAAGGGUUGGGCUGUUCGACCAUGAAAGCGGUACGCGAGCUGGGUUCAGAACGUCGUGAGACAGUUCGGUCCAUAUCCGGUGUAGGCGUUAGAAUAUUGAGAGGAGCCUUCUUUAGUACGAGAGGACCGAGAAGGACAUACCUCUGGUGUACCAGUUAUCGUGCCAACGGUAAACGCUGGGUAGCUAUGUAUGGAGUGGAUAACCGCUGAAAGCAUCUAAGUGGGAAGCCCACCUCAAGAUAAGUAUUCUC
RNAcentral lists this ribosomal RNA (1240 nucleotides) under metagenome. RNAcentral describes it as "bacterial LSU rRNA". It matches the Rfam family "Bacterial large subunit ribosomal RNA", at positions 1564 to 2815 of the family's 2925-position model. The record is from RNAcentral.